This 590-nucleotide ribosomal RNA is filed under the name uncultured bacterium. RNAcentral's name for it is "bacterial SSU rRNA". It matches the Rfam family "Bacterial small subunit ribosomal RNA", at positions 338 to 947 of the family's 1533-position model. The record is from RNAcentral.
CCUACGGGAGGCAGCAGUGGGGAAUAUUGGACAAUGGGCGCAAGCCUGAUCCAGCCAUGCCGCGUGAGUGAUGAAGGCCUUAGGGUUGUAAAGCUCUUUUGCCAGGGAAGAUAAUGACUGUACCUGGAGAAUAAGCCCCGGCUAACUUCGUGCCAGCAGCCGCGGUAAUACGAAGGGGGCUAGCGUUGUUCGGAAUCACUGGGCGUAAAGCGCACGUAGGCGGACUUUUAAGUCAGGGGUGAAAGCCUGAGGCUCAACCUCAGAACUGCCCUUGAUACUGGGAGUCUUGAGUAUGGUAGAGGUUGGUGGAACAGCAAGUGUAGAGGUGAAAUUCGUAGAUAUUUGCUAGAACACCAGUGGCGAAGGCGGCCAACUGGACCAUAACUGACGCUGAGGUGCGAAAGCGUGGGGAGCAAACAGGAUUAGAUACCCUGGUAGUCCACGCCGUAAACGAUGGAUGCUAGCCGUUAGCCAGCUUGCUGGGUAUGGCGCAGGUACCCUUUAAGCAUCCCGCCUGGGGAAGUCGGUCGCAAGAUUAAAACUCAAAGGAAUUGACGGCUGAGACGNGCGAGACGACGACGAGGGAGAGG